Molecule: ribosomal RNA, 496 nt
Filed under: uncultured bacterium
Lineage: Bacteria
Description: partial 16S ribosomal RNA
Rfam family: Bacterial small subunit ribosomal RNA
Source: RNAcentral
AUUGAACGCUGGCGGAAUGCUUUACACAUGCAAGUCGAACGGUAGAGGGGGCAACCCCUCGAGAGUGGCGAACGGGUGAGUAAUAUAUCGGAACGUGCCCAGUCGUGGGGGAUAACGUAGCGAAAGUUACGCUAAUACCGCAUACGAUCUAAGGAUGAAAGCGGGGGAUCGCAAGACCUCGCGCGAUUGGAGCGGCCGAUAUCAGAUUAGGUAGUUGGUGGGGUAAAGGCUCACCAAGCCAACGAUCUGUAGCUGGUCUGAGAGGACGACCAGCCACACUGGAACUGAGACACGUUCCAGACUCCUACGGGAGGCAGCAGUGGGGAAGUUUGGACAAUGGACGCAAGUCUGAUCCAGCCAUUCCGCGUGCAGGAUGAAGGCCCUCGGGUUGUAAACUGCUUUUGUACGGAACGAAAAGGUCUCUCUUAAUACGGGAGGCUCAUGACGGUACCGUAAGAAUAAGCACCGGCUAACUACGUGCUAGCCGCCGCGGUAA